Molecule: long non-coding RNA, 4782 nt
Organism: Papaver somniferum (opium poppy)
Lineage: Eukaryota; Viridiplantae; Streptophyta; Magnoliopsida; Ranunculales; Papaveraceae
Exons: 2
Source: RefSeq, a predicted model, not a curated record
UGUAUUGUGUAUUGGUAUUAGUCUCCUCAUUACCCUCUCAUAAUUUAAGGGUGUUUACAUUUGGCGACUUCACUGGGGAGUAAUCUUCAAUAUCAAUAUCGGACUCAUCACUACCCCGGAAAAUAUCUCGUCCGCAAAAACAACACAAGUUAUCUCCACCACCGUCCUCACUCUACUAGACACUACUAAUAUGUUAUCUCCACCACUGUCUUCGUCAUAUCGGACACCACCAACAUGGAAUUCGAAGCACCAAUGAAUCUCCCUGAACCACUACACCACAACGGAGAUCAAUAGCUUAAUCUCCACCGAUACAACCAAUUGCUGUUGUUUUUCAAUAUCACCAUUAAAAGAAACAAGACGGACUCUAGAUCUCCAUGAACCUUUUUAGUAAUUCCUCCAUCAGCAACCUGUUCUUAUUUUCUUACACAAACAACUUUUCGAUCCCCAAAAUGUCCUUGUCAAUUCGAAUCAAACCAAACCUUAAUCAAUGAAUCAUUUCAUUACCUUCAGAAAAUCCUCACUCUCGAAGGCACCUCGACCGUCAACUGCCGGGGUCAAUAAAAUUAUCAUCAACAAAACCCAGAUACAAAGAGAGAAAAGAGACGAAAUUUCUACAGCGGAGAAUUUGAAGAAAACUUCAUCACAUACUGAAAUCAGCAGAUUUCUCAUCAACAAUCAACUUAGAAACAAAUUUCUUCUUCAUCUCUCUCUUAUAUUGUUCUUAUUGCUUCAUAUCUACAAGUUUUGAGAAAAAAAUUUCAAUCUGAUUUUCAAAAAAAUCUGAAAUUACUUUCAAAAUCUUUAUUGAAAACAAGAUUUAACAGUAGAUCUCUGAUUACCAAAUUUUGUUUUACAAACCCUUUAAGGGAUUUUCAAUGAGAAACAAGAAAAUAGUUAUUUUAGCCUAAUUUGGGUUUUCUCAUGUGAAUAUUAUUGGUACUCUUCGUCCUGCCUGCAAUAAAAUUUGGCUUAGAGAUAUUCUAACCACACAUCAGGUCAACUUGUUGUUGAAGCGAUGAUUAAGGGACAACAUGGAGUCCAACCAUAUGGCGAAGAGAGUUCCAAAGUUAUCUCGUGCAGCUCAAUUCAGAGAACCAGUCUCGAACAAACAAUGACAAACCUCAGUCUAUAUCGGACCAGAGCAACAUCGGAGCAAGAGUCAGCCAGCACGAUGUUGAUUCAACAGAGCUUGGAUCGGACAAUCGAAGUCAAGAGGACGCUACCACCUCCGUUCAUCGAUCCCCCACGUCGAGAGAAGUAUCACUAAAUCCGAAGACUCAAUCAUCAACAAUUAUGAUAAAGCUUCAGUUCAUGGCACCGGUAGAAGCUCUGUUAAUGGCGAAGGACUUGUGUACUUAAAAGGAAGAAUUUUCCAACAUCUUUACCGACAUUGUAGUUGCGAACUCAACUGCCGAAGUGGAGUUUCCAUGGCUAAACCUGCGGGAAAAGAAGAACCGAAGAAGUGAAGAUUUGUGGCUUGCAAAAUCCCGAUUACAACUAUUAACACUUCAUUACCAAACGUCCACAUCCACCAUCAAAACAAUCACCCCAUCGUCACCCGAGGACACCACGACCUUAAAUCAUCAACUGCCAGCGUUAAUACGAGGCGUCACCAAAAUUAAAUCCGAAGAUUCAAUCAUCAACAAAUGAUGAGAAAGUUCAUAUUUUCGGCAUAGACUUAAGAACGUGAAGCCGAGAUGAUGACACAACUAAUUGCCAUAAUAGUCUCAAAGUCUACAGAGCAAGCCAUGCUGGGGGCUAAGAAAACAAAAAACUUCAACGGCAUAGCUAAGAUGUCAACAGCGGCACCAGCCUUGUCGAAGCAAGCAUCAGCAAGACCGCAAUUCAGUCCAUAACAGCACCUCAAGAAAGCGUCAUCGAAGUAUAUGGAGAGCAACUAGCGUGAAACAUAUGCAUGAGUUUGUCGUGGAAAGACACCGAGGUGUAAGCUGCAACUCAAGAUGACUGCUUAGCUUAGUAUAUACAUUUCAAUAAGUCAGUUGAAGGCAAGAACGCAGACAAAGGGCAUCCCAGCAAAACAAGCUCGUCUUACAGAGAAAAAUCUUCAAACUAAGCUAAGUAUUUGUUUGCUUACUUCACAAAUUCUUUGUCCGACAUUUUCAAAUUUUAAUUAUAGCUCUAACAAACUUAAGCAAAUCGCAUAUUACAGCCGAAGAUGCAUCAUAAAAUCAGAUAAGUGUGUGCAAUAUUGAUACUUACGUAACCUCGAUGUCAUCUGACUAAUUUUAAUCUUUCAUUUUCGGAUAUCUAGCAUUUGGUCAUGUCCCAGUGGUGAAUAUCCGGAGUACUGAAGGAACCGAUAGUGCUUGCACAAUAAAUGUUUGCAAGAAUCCCACAAAGAAUGAAUGUUCAAUCACUAAACUCCCAAUGGACCAUUGGAAAUAUGCAUCACCCGAAGUGACUUUCAAACUAAGCAAUCAGGUCAAGAGUUCAUAUAGAGAGCUCCGAGAAGACGAAGAGACCAAGUGAUCAAAGGUGUUAGGCGCUCCCCUCCAACAUUCCUGCAUGAGACAUGACUACUUCCCGAGACAGAGCAUCCACCGGAAAUACGAAGAGCCAAAACUGUAUAGCCAAGUGACUGAACAACGAAGAAUCUAUGUCCGAGAAGAUCAAGGAAAUCAAAGACUCAAAGAGAAGCAAACUUCAAUAAAGUAAUUCUACAUGGACUUGUCACGUUGUACUCUUUUCCCUUCGUUGAGGUUUUGUCCCACUGGGUUUUCUUUGACACGGUUUUAAUGGAGCAACAUAAGCGAGUCCAAUUGUGCCCCAAGUCUUCUCAAAGGCUUGGCUUCGACCGAUAUACAUUCAAAUUUGAAGUUAUGACCAACAUGGGGCUCCGAGGAAGGCAAGAUGAGAGACCCGGGGUUGUGACUAACAGGGAGCUCCGAAGAGAAGAGAAGACAAAAGGACAGACCCGGAGUCAUGACUAACAGGGGGCUCCAAGGAGGAAGGGACAACCAGAAGACGCAUUCUCAAUACAAGUUAUGACUGAUUGCCGAGUCUGUAAGCGUCGACAAAACAGUCAGGGGGUUAAUGUAAACAUGGGAAUUUGACCGAACCCGAGAACAGUAAUAGGAACCCGAGUGUUAACCGAGGUUACCAUUAACAAUGCCAGGGUCACUAUUUCCUAUGGAACGACAUAAGCGAGCUGUCUCAAGGACCGGGGUGCCUCGAACGAAAUAACUAGUGGGUGCCCAAGUAACCUAGCUGUAAUAAUACAUGUGUACGGUUGGUAAUAGAAGACUUACUAAGAAAGGUAGUCGAGUACACGUGUACGACAUUUAGAUGUCAGGCUCUGCCUAUAAAAGGAGAGAUUCCUUCCGGAGAGAGAUAGAGUUCUCCAGAUAAUUGUAUUGUGUAUUGGGAUUAGUCUCCUCAUUACCCUCUGAUAAUUUAAGGGUGUUUACAAGCAUGAAUUGAAGAUGGGUUUCAGCUGAAUAAGAGGUUGGCAGGAAAAGAAAAUAGAGCAGUUUAAAUUUAUGUUGUUCUGGGUCUGUGAGAGAAAUGGGUUAGUCUGACAGCAAGCAAAUUCGAUUUUAUUUACUUCAGGGAAGAUUCGGGUAAGCUGCAGUCAAGUGAAUCAGUGAGGAAGCUUAUAGUUUUUCCCAAGUAUAGAGUAGCUGCUAGCCAUGGUUCGCUGGUGUGCACGAGAUCUUCCUGACAAAGGCUAGAACUUAUUUUAGAAGUCGAGCAAGACACAGAGUUUGUGCUCAAGAUUAUAGUGGUUUUGGCUUUGCUUUUGAAUCGAGAAAACAGGGAGGAAAGGUGUAACAAGAGUCUGCUGCCGAUGAUUAGCUGGACCAGAUUGUGGGUCUCAUUGAAAAGUGGUUUAGAAUCUUAGAAGAACAUGGGUCCAAGGAGUGAUUGCCGAGGGUCAGUACAUGCUUUGAAGCCGAGUAGAGAAGGGAAUUGUGUACGGACUGUUUUAGAGUUUUGAGCAAAGUUUGGCCGAGAAGUCAGGGUAGAAGUGAGUGUUGAAGACCCCUGUGUUUAUCGAGUUUGAUUUUGAGAAUCUUGGCCAGAAAAACAGUUAAAGAAGUUAUUACAAUGAUGCCUUGCCGUUGGAUUUGUGGUUGUAUGCGCUAUAUUUGGAUUGUUUUGGAGAUUGUGUUCGAUAAGGAAAGUUGGGACCUUGCCCAAUACGAAAUUGCAGGAAGGUUAAGCUAUAAAAAGUGAUUGAAGGCUACAGAAACGAUGAUCCAAUACCCCCUUCACGACUGUGUUCACAACCAACAGAGAGGACCUCUCUGCUCCUCUCCAAUCAUCACCACCACCUCCAUCAUUACCAGUUCUGCAUAUCCAUCCACUGCAUACCAUUCCAUUACCACCUGCAUAUCCACAUCCACCAGACCUGCACUUAAUCACUCCACCUCCAUACAUACAACACCAUCAGCACAUACAUCCAGUUUUCAUCUCCACCAGUUCACUGCAUACCACCAGUUCGCAGUUCCAUCGAUCACCUGCAUCUCACCACGCCGUAACAACAAGGCCGCAGGCUACAGGCAACUAUAUCAGCAGCAGUUUUACUUCGUGGCCACCAUUCCGCCAGACCACGGAGUUCACCACUACCAGUUCACAUCAUUCCACCACAACCAUCCCCUGCCGUUUUUUUUGUUGCUUUGAUGUUGUGUAUUCCUGUUUGGUUUUGUUUGUUUUCCAUGAACUGGGGUAGCUAAAUCCUUGUUUGGUUAGGGUUAUUUCAAAAAUAUAUGACUUGUCUUUGAUAAUCUAUCAAGUUUGAUAUUUCUUUUGAAUAUCGUU